This 157-nucleotide ribosomal RNA is filed under the name Micromonospora halophytica. RNAcentral describes it as "16S rRNA. Bacterial SSU". It matches the Rfam family "Bacterial small subunit ribosomal RNA", at positions 1 to 158 of the family's 1533-position model. Lineage: Bacteria; Bacillati; Actinomycetota; Actinomycetes; Micromonosporales; Micromonosporaceae. The record is from RNAcentral.
UUUUGUUGGAGAGUUUGAUCCUGGCUCAGGACGAACGCUGGCGGCGUGCUUAACACAUGCAAGUCGAGCGGAAAGGCCCUUCGGGGUACUCGAGCGGCGAACGGGUGAGUAACACGUGAGCAACCUGCCCUAGGCUUUGGGAUAACCCCGGGAAACC